GGCGGUCGCUCGGCUAUGACGUGCCCUGCUCCAGCAUAUCCGGCCCGGCCAUCCCGGCGGGUCCCGCCCGCUGUCUCGGCCUUCCCGGCGCUUCCCAUGGCCCUGCCCGCCGUCCACAGGUGCCUCCAACUCAGUGAUGAAAAUGAACAGUUAGUCAAGAAGGUGAAAAGACUACACAUAAAAAAUAAGGAGCUAGAAAAGAAUCUGGGUCAGAUCCAAGAAAAGUUGCAUCUGCAGCAGUUAAUGCAUGACUGUGGCACAAGCAGAGAUGUUCAGGUUCAAACAGAAACCCAUUUAUGGCAUAAGGGUGGAGACAGCAAGGAUUUUGUUCUAGAGUGUGACAGUGUCAGACUGCUUCAUAUGUAUAAUGAGCUACAGAAACGUUACGUUAGAGAAAGCAAAAAAAACAAGGAGCAAAGUGAAGCAAUUAAAAAUCUCACUAUUAAAAUUCAUGAGCUAGAGCAUAAUCUUCAAGAGCAGAGGCAAAGAAUUGAACAACUGGAAUGUAAAAAGGUUUCUUGGAAAACUAAUGCUGUUUCUGAAAAAAGAAGUCGAACCUCAGAGGGAGGAAUAACUUCUCACAGGGACAUUUCUGAAGAGAAGGAAUCCUGUUGCAGUAAAUAUUUAGGAAUUUUUUGAAGAGGUAGAAGAUCUAAAGCAUGCUGUACAGGAAUGUCUGAAACUGAACUAUGAGUACGAAAAAUGCUUGAAACAAAUAAGUGUAAUGUAUGGGCUUCCUUUUACAGCACAUUUGUAAAUACUGGUUAAUUUAAUGGCAAGUAGAGUUUCCACUUUUUUUUUAUGCUUACUGCAGCAUUUAAACCUACCAUGGCUUAAGUGGUACCUCAUUUUGAUAAUGUUAUGGAUUCACUAAUAUGAUCCUAACAAGCUUCUCUGAAAUGUUUUUGUAUUUUGUGCCUUUGAUUUUUUGUUUAUAUGGUUUUUAAAUAAACUGUGGUCUGUAUAACUUCA
RNAcentral lists this long non-coding RNA (972 nucleotides) under Manacus vitellinus (golden-collared manakin). Its description in RNAcentral is "lncRNA (ENSMVIG00005008319.1)". Lineage: Eukaryota; Metazoa; Chordata; Aves; Passeriformes; Pipridae. The record is from RNAcentral.